RNAcentral lists this ribosomal RNA (415 nucleotides) under uncultured bacterium. RNAcentral describes it as "bacterial SSU rRNA". It matches the Rfam family "Bacterial small subunit ribosomal RNA", at positions 108 to 518 of the family's 1533-position model. The record is from RNAcentral.
GAGUAACGCGUAUCCAACCUCCCUAUAGUAGAGAAUAGCCCGGCGAAAGUCGGAUUAAUAGCUCUAUGUUGUAUUUAGAAGACAUCUGAAGAAUACCAAAGGUUUACCGCUAUAGGAUGGGGAUGCGUCUGAUUAGGUUGUUGGCGGGGUAACGGCCACCAAGCCACCGAUCAGUAGGGGUUCUGAGAGGAAGGUCCCCCACAUUGGAACUGAGACACGGUCCAAACUCCUACGGGAGGCAGCAGUGAGGAAUAUUGGUCAAUGGACGAAAGUCUGAACCAGCCAAGUUAACGCGUGCAGGAUGACGGCCCUAUGGGUUGUAAACUGCUUUUAUACAGGGAUAAAGUGAGGGUACGUGUCCCUUUUUGUAGGUACUGUAUGAAUAAGGACCGGCUAAUUCCGUGCCAGCCGCGGC